UUCCGAUCUAUUUAGAGUUCGGGUUCUUUUGAGAGAUUUUCUUUGUACUUCGCCUUUUCGACAUUAAUAAAGUAUUUGCUCCGUCUUCGCCCGUGGACGUAGGCCGUUGGCCGAACCACGUAAAUAUCGGUGUGCUAUUUUCUUUUCUUUUUAUUUCCUGCAUUAAAUUAUUUUCUGAAUCUAUUUUUCGCCGUUCCGAUUUUAACAAAAACAAGCAUCCUUUCACUGAAGGACACAACCCUAAACUUAAACAAA
This 255-nucleotide long non-coding RNA is filed under the name Ananas comosus (pineapple). Its description in RNAcentral is "long non-coding RNA (ACOM_LNC024123)". The record is from RNAcentral. Lineage: Eukaryota; Viridiplantae; Streptophyta; Magnoliopsida; Poales; Bromeliaceae.